AACAAGGUGCUGCAUGGCCGUCGUCAGCUCGUGUCGUGAGAUGUUGGGUUAAGUCCCGUAACGAGCGCAACCCCUAUCCCUAGUUGCUAGCAGUUCGGCUGAGAACUCUAGGGAGACUGCCGGUGACAAACCGGAGGAAGGUGGGGAUGACGUCAGGUCAUCAUGGCCCUUACGGCCAGGGCUACACACGUGCUACAAUGGUACGUACAGAGGGCUGCAAACCCGCGAGGGGGAGCCAAUCUCACAAAACGUAUCGUAGUCCGGAUCGCAGUCUGCAACUCGACUGCGUGAAGUCGGAAUCGCUAGUAAUCGCGAAUCAGAAUGUCGCGGUGAAUACGUUCCCGGGCCUUGUACACACC
This 359-nucleotide ribosomal RNA is filed under the name Marinobacter mobilis. RNAcentral describes it as "bacterial SSU rRNA". It matches the Rfam family "Bacterial small subunit ribosomal RNA", at positions 1032 to 1391 of the family's 1533-position model. Lineage: Bacteria; Pseudomonadati; Pseudomonadota; Gammaproteobacteria; Pseudomonadales; Marinobacteraceae. The record is from RNAcentral.